GACGAACGCUGGCGGCGUGCUUAACACAUGCAAGUCGAACGGAAAGGCCCUGCUUUUGUGGGGUGCUCGAGUGGCGAACGGGUGAGUAACACGUGAGUAACCUGCCCUUGACUUUGGGAUAACUUCAGGAAACUGGGGCUAAUACCGGAUAGGAGCUCCUGCUGCAUGGUGGGGGUUGGAAAGUUUCGGCGGUUGGGGAUGGACUCGCGGCUUAUCAGCUUGUUGGUGGGGUAGUGGCUUACCAAGGCUUUGACGGGUAGCCGGCCUGAGAGGGUGACCGGCCACAUUGGUCCUGCGAUACGGCCCAGACUCCUACGGUAGGCAGCAGUGGGGAAUAUUGCACAAUGGGCGGAAGCCUGAUGCAGCAACGCCGCGUUCGGGAUGACGGCCUUCUGGUUGUAAACCGCUUUCGCCUGUGACGAAGCGUGAGUGACGGUAAUGGGUAAAGAAGCACCGGCUAACUACGUG
Molecule: ribosomal RNA, 468 nt
Filed under: uncultured bacterium
Lineage: Bacteria
Description: partial 16S ribosomal RNA
Rfam family: Bacterial small subunit ribosomal RNA
Source: RNAcentral